Long non-coding RNA from Cottoperca gobio, 2327 nucleotides. The record is from Ensembl. NCBI's taxonomy places the organism in Eukaryota, Metazoa, Chordata, Actinopteri, Perciformes, Bovichtidae.
AACUGUCCUCAAUCUGUACUCACACUGUCCCACUCUGUCUUCAAUGUGUCCUCACACUGUCCUCACACUGUCCUCACUCUAUCCUCACAAUGUCCUCACUCUAUCCUCACUCCAUCGUCACUCUAUCCUCACUCUAUCCUCACACUGUCCUCACGCUGUCCUCACACUGUCCUCACACUGUCCACACUCUGUACUCACACUGUCCUCACGCUGUCCCUCACUCUAUAUCCUCACUCCAUCCUCACUCUAUCCUCACUCUAUCCUCACACUGUCCUCACACUGUCCUCAAUCUGUCCUCACGCUGUCUUCACGCUGUCCUCACGCUGUCCUCACUCUGUACUCACACUGUCCUCACUGUCCUUAAUCUGUCCUCACGCUGUCCUCACACUGUCCUCACAAUGUACUUACGCUGUCCUCACAAUGUACUUACGCUGUCCUCACUCUAUCCUCACACUGUCCUCAAUCUGUCCUCAUACUGUCCUAAUGCUGUCCUCACACCGUCCUCACGCUGUUUUCAAUCUGUCCUCACACUGUCCUCACGCUGUCCUCACGCUGUCUUCAAUCGGUCCAUACACUGUCCUCACUCUGUCCUCACGCUGUCCUCACACUGUCCCCACACUGUCCUCACGCUGUCCUCACACUGUCCUCAAUCUAUCCUCACGAUGUCCUCAAUCUGUCCUCACACUGUUCUCACGCGGUCCUCACUCUGUACUCACACUGUCCUCACGCUGUCUUCAAUCGGUCCUUACACUGUCCUCACGAUGUCCUCACUCUGUCCUCACGCUGUCCUCACUCUGUCCUCACGCUGUCCUCACACCGUCCUCACGCUGUUUUCAAUCUGUCCUCACGCUAUCCUCACGCUGUCCUCACUCUACCCUCACACUGUCCUCAAUCUAUCCUCACACUGUCCUUACGCUGUCCUCAAUCUGUCCUCACACUGUCCUCACGCUGUCCUCACGAUGUCCUCACACUGUCCUCACUCUAUCCACACACUGUCCUCACGCUGUCCUCACUCUGUACUCACGCUGUCCUCACGCUGUCCUCACGCAGUCCUCACACUGUCCUCACACUGUCCUCACUCUGUCCUCAAUCUGUCCUCACACUGUCCUCACGCUGUCCUCACGCUGUACUCACACUGUCUUCAAUCUGUCCUCACGCUGUCCUCACUCUGUCCUCACGCUGUCCUCACGCUGUCCUCACUCUGUACUCACAGUGUCCUCACACUGUCUUCAAUCUGUCCUUACGCUGUCCUCACACUUUCCUCACUCUGUCCUCACACUGUCCUCACUCUACCCUCACACUGUCCUCAAUCUGUCCUCACACUGUCCUCACACUGUCCUCACGCUGUCCUCACUCUGUACUCACAGUGUCCUCACACUGUCUUCAAUCUGUCCUCAAGCUGUCCUCACUCUGUACUCACAUUGUCCUCACUCUACCCUCACACUGUCCUCAAUCUGUCCUCACACUGUCCUCACGCUGUCCUCACACUGUCCUCACGCUGUCCUCACGCUUUCCUCACUCUGUACUUACGCUGUCCUCACUCUAUCCUCACACUGUCCUCAAUCUGUCCUCAUACUGUCCUAACGCUGUCCUCACACCGUCCUCACGCUGUCCUCACGCUGUCUUCAAUCUGUCCUCACGCUAUCCUCACGCUGCCCUCACACGGUCCUCACGCUAUCUUCAAUCUGUCCUUACACUGUCUUCAAUCUGUCCUCACGCUGUACUCACACUGUCCUCACUCUGUACUCACAUUGUCCUCACUUUAUCCUCAUACUGUCCUCACGCUGUCCUCAUACUGUCCUCACUAUGUCCUCACACUGUACUCACUCUGUACUAACGCUGUCCUCACGUUGUCCUCACGAUGUCCUCACACUGUCCUCACUCUAUCCACACACUGUCCUCACGCUGUCCUCACUCUGUACUCACGCUGUCCUCACUCUGUACUCACGCUGUCCUCACUCUAUCCUCACGCAGUCCUCACACUGUCCUCACUCUGUCCUCACUCUGUACUCACGCUGUCCUCACUCUGUACUCACGCUGUCCUCACUCUGUCCUCACGCUGUCCUCACUCUGUCCUCACGCUGUCCUCACUCUGUCCUCACGCUGUCCUCACACUGUCCUCACGCUAUCCACACACUGUCCUCACACUGUCCUCAAUCUGUCCUCAAUAUGUCCUCACACUGUCCCCACACUGUCCUCACGCUGUCCUCACGCUGUCCUCACUCUGUACUCACACUGUCCUCACACUGUCUUUAAUCUGUCCUCACGCUUUCCUCACAGCGUGAGGCCGGUCCUGAUAAUUUCUUGAGGUCGCCCUGGUGUUCCGA